Molecule: long non-coding RNA, 716 nt
Organism: Struthio camelus australis
Lineage: Eukaryota; Metazoa; Chordata; Aves; Struthioniformes; Struthionidae
Source: RefSeq, a predicted model, not a curated record
CUGGGCUGCUGCUAGCUAGCAGGAUUCAGCACAGAGCGGAUGCUAAUAAACUUUUGGCUGUUCAUUGUGCUUAGCCAAAAACCUAAAGAAAUGUUGCAAAGGUGAAUGAGACUUUGGCACAGUAAAGGAUCACAAGAAUUCAUUUUUGGCAGCCUUCAAAUGCUGCGCUGCUGGGCCAAAGAUGAGCUCCAACAGGGUUUACGCUGCAGACUGUGUUGGCUGUGAAGCUCAGUCGGUAGCCCUGUACACUACACGCUUGCCUUAUUUUGCUUCAUACCAUCAUCAGAAUCAAGAAGAGAAUUUAGCUUGGAGAUGAUCUCUCGUCCUAGUCAAAGCUAAUGUGAGAAAGGUUCAGUUCUCCUUGCCGUUCUCCCGCGAAUGCAAAGGGUCAUAUUACAAUCCAUUGAAGUUUUGUGAAUCUGAAGAAAAAAAAAUCAGCGACAGGACUCACCAUCUGUUGCAUAAUGAAAGAGACAUGUGAAUAAUAGAACGUCAGUUGAAAGGAAAGGUAGCUGCUUCUUUACUCCUACAGACACAAAAGAAGAUCACCCCUGCCAUCACACUGUGAGCUGCCCUGAAGUGUGAGCUAUUUCAGCUGUUGAGCAGCCUUUUGUGACUUCUGAGAAAGAACCGAUGGAGAAACUGAGACAGAGCCAAGUUGAAUGGCUUGGUGAAGGUCACGCAGGGUGUUGAAACAGCUGGCAAUAGAAACCAAG